GACGAACGCUGGCGGCGUGCUUAACACAUGCAAGUCGAACGGAAAGGCCCUGCUUGCAGGGUACUCGAGUGGCGAACGGGUGAGUAACACGUGGGUGAUCUGCCCUGCACUUCGGGAUAAGCCUGGGAAACUGGGUCUAAUACCGGAUAGGAGCCAUUUUUAGUGUGAUGGUUGGAAAGUUUUUUCGGUGUAGGAUGAGCUCGCGGCCUAUCAGCUUGUUGGUGGGGUAAUGGCCUACCAAGGCGGCGACGGGUAGCCGGCCUGAGAGGGUGGACGGCCACAUUGGGACUGAGAUACGGCCCAGACUCCUACGGGAGGCAGCAGUGGGGAAGAUUGCACAAUGGGCGCAAGCCUGAUGCAGCGACGCCGCGUGGGGGAGGACGGCCUUCGGGUUGUAAACGCCUUUCGCUAGGGACGAAGCUUUUUGUGACGGUACCUAGAUAAGAAGCACCGGCUAACUACGUG
This 465-nucleotide ribosomal RNA is filed under the name uncultured bacterium. Its description in RNAcentral is "partial 16S ribosomal RNA". It matches the Rfam family "Bacterial small subunit ribosomal RNA", at positions 28 to 507 of the family's 1533-position model. The record is from RNAcentral.